RNAcentral lists this ribosomal RNA (350 nucleotides) under uncultured bacterium. Its description in RNAcentral is "bacterial SSU rRNA". It matches the Rfam family "Bacterial small subunit ribosomal RNA", at positions 8 to 350 of the family's 1533-position model. The record is from RNAcentral.
AGAGUUUGAUCCUGGCUCAGGAUGAACGCUAGCUACAGGCUUAACACAUGCAAGUCGAGGGGAAACGACAUCGAAAGCUUGCUUUUGAUGGGCGUCGACCGGCGCACGGGUGAGUAACGCGUAUCCAACCUGCCCACCACUUGGGGAUAACCUUGCGGAAGUAAGACUAAUACCCAAUGACGUCUCUAGAAGACAUCUGAAAGAGAUUAAAGAUUUAUCGGUGAUGGAUGGGGGUGCGUCUGAUUAGCUUGUUGGCGGGUAACGGCCACAAGGCGACGAUCAGUAGGGGUUCUGAGAGGAAGGUCCCCCACAUUGGAACUGAGACACGGUCCAAACUCCUACGGGAGGCA